AUGGAGAUGGAGGAAGAGUUUGGGGAGCUACAAGGAACACCAAUGAAGUUCACAUGUCAGCAGCUAAAAGCAGCAACCGAGCAAUUUGCAGACAAGCUCGGGGAAGGAGGAUUUGGGUCUGUUUUCAAGGGUCAAUUUGGUGAUGAAAGGAUUGCAGUAAAACGUUUGGAUCGAGCGGGUCAGGGCAAAAGAGAAUUUUCUGCAGAGGUUCAAACAAUUUUCUGCAGAUUGAUUGGUUUCUGUGCAGAGAAAUCGCAUAGGCUCUUGGUAUAUGAGUACAUGCCAAAAGGAUCCUUGGAUAGAUGGAUCUAUCAUCAACAUGACAAUGAUUCACCUCCCCUGAAUUGGAGCACGCGGUGCAAGAUUAUCACUCACAUAGCUAAGGGUCUCGCUUAUCUUCAUGAGGAGUGCAUGAAAAAGAUUGCCCAUUUGGAUAUCAAACCACAAAACAUCCUCUUAGAUGAUGACUUCAAUGCUAAACUUUCUGAUUUUGGACUAUGCAAGCUCAUUGACAGGGAUAUGAGCCAAGUGUUUACCAGAAUGAGAGGCACACCUGGAUAUUUAGCUCCUGAAUGGUUGACAUCACAGAUCACGGAAAAGGCUGAUGCCUAUAGCUUUGGUGUUGUGGUCAUGGAAGUCAUCAGAGGAAGAAAGAACCUCGACAAUUCUCGAUCCGAAGAGAGCAUCCAUCUCAUCACCCAAUUGGAGGAAAAGGUGAAGACUAAUCGGUUGGUAGAAUUGAUUGACAAUAAGAGUAACAAUAUGCUGGCACAUAAGCAGGAUGUAAUUGAGAUGAUGAAGCUCGCAAUGUGGUGUUUGCAGAUUGAUUGCAAAAGAAGGCCUAAAAUGUCCGAGGUAGUCAAGGUCUUGGAAGGUGCCAUGAAUGCAGAGAGCAACAUUGAUCAUAACUUCGUUGCAACAAAUCAAGUGUUAUUCGGCGCUGCUGGAAAUGUGGUCUCAUCGGUUCCACCUCUAGCUUCACAUGUAUCAGGUCCCAGGUGA
RNAcentral lists this ribosomal RNA (1002 nucleotides) under Triticum aestivum (bread wheat). RNAcentral's name for it is "partial small subunit ribosomal RNA". Lineage: Eukaryota; Viridiplantae; Streptophyta; Magnoliopsida; Poales; Poaceae. The record is from RNAcentral.